UAGCCCUAAUGGCUGAACCGCAACUUGGAGGAAUGUAUAGCGAAAGCUAGUUGCAUUAAUUAACAGUUAGUGUAGCAUUGACUAUGUCAACUAAAGUUCUAGGUAGAGUUAUGAUUAUGACAUUUUCUACCUAUGUGUCUUGACCAAAUCACGUGCCAGCAGUCGCGGUAAUACGUGGAAGACUAGUGUUAUUCAUCUUUAGCAGGUAUAUAGGGUACUUAGACGGUAAAUUCAGCCCUAGAGAUAAGGGUACUGAUUAGACUAGAGUUUUAUCCGAGGGGGUACGGGAGUACUACCGGUGUAGAGAUGAAAUUUUUUCAUACUGCUAGGACUGGCAACGGCGAAAGCAACCCUUUAUGUAAAAACUGACGUUGAAGGACGAAGGCUUGGUUCACCAACAGGAUUAGUUACCCCAGCAGUCUGAGCAGACAAUGAUGAAUGUCAUAGAUAGGAAAUAUACCUCUAUUAAUAAUAGUGACAGAUAAUAAGUACAUUAUUAAUGAUACUAAUUGUUAAAAUUGAAUAACACUACAAUUUUAACAAUACAAUCUGAAUAAUACAAUAUUAAUAAUACAAUAUUAAUAAAAACGGUAAUAACUGUCUAUAAAUGAAAGUGUAAGCAUUCCACCUCAAGAGUAAUGCGGCAACGCAUAAACUGAAAUCAUUAGACCGUAUCUGAAACCAGUAGUGAAGUAUGUUGUUUAAUUAGAUAGUCCUCUAAAAACCUCACCACAAUUUGUAUAUUUAUUUUAUAUAAAUACAAGCGUUGCACGGCUGUCUUCAGUUAAUGUCGUGAGAUUCUGGUUAGUUCCAUUAAUUAACGCAAACCCUUACUUUAUUUAGUUUAAUAUAUAAAGUAGUUCCCCGCUAUAUUGGAUAAGAUAACAGGGACUAAGACAAGUCAUCAUGACCUGAAUAUUGUGGGCUAUAGACGUGCUACAUAAGACUACACAAAGGGAUGCUAAAUUGKAAAUUAGC
RNAcentral lists this ribosomal RNA (978 nucleotides) under Varicellaria lactea. RNAcentral's name for it is "SSU rRNA". It matches the Rfam family "Bacterial small subunit ribosomal RNA", at positions 334 to 1266 of the family's 1533-position model. Lineage: Eukaryota; Fungi; Ascomycota; Lecanoromycetes; Pertusariales; Pertusariaceae. The record is from RNAcentral.